GUUAAGUCAGAUGUGAAAGCCCGGGGCUUAACCUCGGAAUUGCAUUUGAAACUGGCAGGCUAGAGUCUUGUAGAGGGGGGUAGAAUUUCAGGUGUAGCGGUGAAAAUGCGUAGAGAUCUGAAGGAAUACCAGUGGCGAAGGCAGCCCCCCUGGACAAAGACUGACGCUCAGAUGCGAAAAGCGUGGGGAGCAAACAGGAUUAGAUACCCUGGUAG
RNAcentral lists this ribosomal RNA (215 nucleotides) under uncultured bacterium. RNAcentral describes it as "partial 16S ribosomal RNA". It matches the Rfam family "Bacterial small subunit ribosomal RNA", at positions 582 to 793 of the family's 1533-position model. The record is from RNAcentral.